CUUACCCCGAUGAAAGGAAUGAACUUCUGAUAGGAGUCUUCGUCCGGGCUGCAGGAAGAGGAGGAGACUGUUAGGGUCUGCUGGGGGGUGGACGGUGACCGGGCCCAGCAGGCAGGGAAUGCCUCACCCUGCAUGCAGGAAGGGCAUCCGAAGCUCGCCAGGCUGAACAACCCCCCGCCCCACCACGUUACUGACAGUGACCACGGAAGAGCUCCCACCCGAUGAGGCGGGUUUGCUUUCGGCACCUGUCCCUGCAGGAUCUGAUGCACAAAGGCAGGCGGGAGAAACAAACUCUCAAUUAUCUACUUGAGAAGAAAGUGAAGUCGGAGCGUUCCUGAAGGUCUCCGUGGGCACGCUGGCGAGGGAAAUCUUUUGUACCUUUCUACAUCUUAAAUAAGCCCCAAGCUCCUGUUUCUCUGCCGUGCAGGCAGAAGGAGAGAUGGCUCUAUGGACCAUUACAAUCGGCUCACCUGAAAACAACUCCAGGGAACAGACAGCAUUUUAAAGUGUGGAGAUGGGCAGAAAGAGUGGGUAAAAAUAGCCCGGCUGCAUCCCCAGCCAGCUGCUGCUGAGUCACGGCUGCGGAGGUCACUGAAAGGCCUGCAUACCUGCACUGCUGGCAGCGUCUGCAGAGCAUCUCUAGCUGCAGGGAAGCAGCCCCGUGGCGGAUCUGCUGGCAAGGCACGGCCUGGGUUAGGAGCAGAGCCAGCUGGGGAGCAGUGGAGAUUGCAGACUGUAGACAAGGCCUAGGCGGCUCCACUUGUGCGUGAAGCAGGCUGGGGUUUGUCCCUCAAAUACCACAAUAUUCUGAGUCAUAGGCAAGAGAACCAUGGAAAGACUCCAGCCCUCACGUAGUUCAUAGUGCAGGAACGCAUCUUACACAUCUAUAUACCACCGCAUGAAUCAUCCACUACUGGAAUGCAGCCUUCUCUGGGGUGGAACACAGCAGCUAUUAUACAAGAGAGUUCAUCUAGCAAGGGAAUGCAGCCAGUUCUGGAGAGAGAUGCGGGAAGGGAGUUAUACAGGGAAUGUUUGCCCAGCAAUGAAAUGCCUCUGGGGUGGGGCAAGGGGCUGUUUAUAGAGGGACCCCUUGCUGAGGGCUGAGAGUAACCAGCUCUGGUGUGGAACACAGCAGCCAUUUGACAGCUUAGAGCACAUAAAGUGAAGCAGCCAGGGAUGUUUUAAAC
Long non-coding RNA from Mauremys reevesii (Reeves's turtle), 1187 nucleotides. RefSeq lists it as uncharacterized. The transcript has 3 exons. The record is from RefSeq and is a predicted model, not a curated record. Lineage: Eukaryota; Metazoa; Chordata; Testudines; Geoemydidae.